Molecule: ribosomal RNA, 468 nt
Filed under: uncultured bacterium
Lineage: Bacteria
Description: partial 16S ribosomal RNA
Rfam family: Bacterial small subunit ribosomal RNA
Source: RNAcentral
GACGAACGCCGGCGGCGUGCUUAACACAUGCAAGUCUAACGGAAAGGCCCUGCUUUUGUGGGGUGCUCGAGUGGCGAACGGGUGAGUAACACGUGAGUAACCUGCCCUUGACUUUGGGAUAACUUCAGGAAACUGGGGCUAAUACCGGAUAGGAACUCCUGCUGCAUGGUGGGGGUUGGAAAGUUUCGGCGGUUGGGGAUGGACUCGCGGCUUAUCAGCUUGUUGGUGGGGUAGUGGCUUACCAAGGCUUUGACGGGUAGCCGGCCUGAGAGGGUGACCGGGCACAUUGGGACUGAGAUACGGCCCAGAGUGAUGAGGGAGGCAGCAGUGGGGAAUAUUGCAACAUGGGCGGAAGCCUGAUGCAGCAACCCGGGGUGCGGGAUGACGGCCUUCGAGUUGUAAACCGAUUUCGCCUGUGAAGGAGAGUGAGUGACGGUAAUGGGUAAAGAAGCACCGGCUAACUACGUG